This 426-nucleotide ribosomal RNA is filed under the name uncultured bacterium. RNAcentral's name for it is "partial 16S ribosomal RNA". It matches the Rfam family "Bacterial small subunit ribosomal RNA", at positions 354 to 796 of the family's 1533-position model. The record is from RNAcentral.
GUGAGGAAUUUUCCGCAAUGGGCGAAAGCCUGACGGAGCAAUGCCGCGUGAAGGAUGAAGGCCUAUGGGUUGUAAACUUCUUUUCUCAGAAAAGAAUUAUGACGGUAUCUGAGGAAUAAGCAUCGGCUAACUCUGUGACAGCAGCCGCGGUAAGACAGAGGAUGCAAGCGUUAUCCGGAAUGAUUGGGCGUAAAGCGUCUGUAGGUUGUUUAAAAAGUAUUCUGUCAAAGAUUAGGGCUUAACCCUAGAUAGGCAGAAUAAACUUUUAAGCUAGAGUUUGGUAGAGGCAGAGGGAAUUCCCGGUGGAGCCGUGAAAUGCGUAGAUAUCGGGAGGAACACCAAAGGCGAAGGCACUCUGCUGGGCCAAUACUAACACUGAGAGACGAAAGCGAGGGGAGCAAAUGGGAUUAGAUACCCGAGUAGUCC